Molecule: ribosomal RNA, 1007 nt
Filed under: Klebsiella aerogenes
Lineage: Bacteria; Pseudomonadati; Pseudomonadota; Gammaproteobacteria; Enterobacterales; Enterobacteriaceae
Description: bacterial SSU rRNA
Rfam family: Bacterial small subunit ribosomal RNA
Source: RNAcentral
UGCAGUCGAGCGGUAGCACAGAGAGCUUGCUCUCGGGUGACGAGCGGCGGACGGGUGAGUAAUGUCUGGGAAACUGCCUGAUGGAGGGGGAUAACUACUGGAAACGGUAGCUAAUACCGCAUAACGUCGCAAGACCAAAGUGGGGGACCUUCGGGCCUCAUGCCAUCAGAUGUGCCCAGAUGGGAUUAGCUAGUAGGUGGGGUAAUGGCUCACCUAGGCGACGAUCCCUAGCUGGUCUGAGAGGAUGACCAGCCACACUGGAACUGAGACACGGUCCAGACUCCUACGGGAGGCAGCAGUGGGGAAUAUUGCACAAUGGGCGCAAGCCUGAUGCAGCCAUGCCGCGUGUAUGAAGAAGGCCUUCGGGUUGUAAAGUACUUUCAGCGAGGAGGAAGGCGUUAAGGUUAAUAACCUUGGCGAUUGACGUUACUCGCAGAAGAAGCACCGGCUAACUCCGUGCCAGCAGCCGCGGUAAUACGGAGGGUGCAAGCGUUAAUCGGAAUUACUGGGCGUAAAGCGCACGCAGGCGGUCUGUCAAGUCGGAUGUGAAAUCCCCGGGCUCAACCUGGGAACUGCAUUCGAAACUGGCAGGCUAGAGUCUUGUAGAGGGGGGUAGAAUUCCAGGUGUAGCGGUGAAAUGCGUAGAGAUCUGGAGGAAUACCGGUGGCGAAGGCGGCCCCCUGGACAAAGACUGACGCUCAGGUGCGAAAGCGUGGGGAGCAAACAGGAUUAGAUACCCUGGUAGUCCACGCCGUAAACGAUGUCGACUUGGAGGUUGUGCCCUUGAGGCGUGGCUUCCGGAGCUAACGCGUUAAGUCGACCGCCUGGGGAGUACGGCCGCAAGGUUAAAACUCAAAUGAAUUGACGGGGGCCCGCACAAGCGGUGGAGCAUGUGGUUUAAUUCGAUGCAACGCGAAGAACCUUACCUGGUCUUGACAUCCACAGAACUUUCCAGAGAUGGAUUGGUGCCUUCGGGAACUGUGAGACAGGUGCUGCAUGGCUGUCGU